AGUGGCUCUUCAUGACAUUUUUGUAAACGGCCAUGAAGUGCUGCAGAGAGGGCUGUCCCUCUGGCACUUUGUCCCAUCUCUGUCAGGCUCCAUUAGAGUGAGCGCUUGGUUCUUAGUCUCCUCCGUGGCCAAGUUUGGCUCAACAUCCAGCACUACAGUCAUGCCGAUCUUCGAUUCUAUAGCUAUUUUUUAAUAUCCUUCUCUGGACUGAAGUGAAUGUGUGUUGUCUUUUAAAGCCGCGUUCAUGUCAUAUUGGAUGGAUGGUAAAGGUGGGGUAGAUUUCCGUGCCAUCAACCCAAAACUCAUGAUGGUUGUAUGGUUACAGAGUUGGUCGUGUGAGGUUUAAAAAUGCGACGCAUGGACAAUAUAAAGAUGAAAUCAGUCUGGAGGGGAUGGUGGUGCACAGAGCUGAAUGCAGCCCGGUCGUCAAUGACAACUACAUGAAGCUGAAGAAGCUGCAGAUAAGAGAGUCUACCAAGCCUCAGCGUUUGUCACAGCAGCUGGAGAGAGCCGUCACUACCGUCUUCAAGCCUGUGGCCAACCAUGACUUCAAUGUGAGAACUAAUCACGG
This is a long non-coding RNA of Epinephelus moara (kelp grouper), 571 nucleotides long. RefSeq lists it as uncharacterized. The record is from RefSeq and is a predicted model, not a curated record. The transcript has 3 exons. Lineage: Eukaryota; Metazoa; Chordata; Actinopteri; Perciformes; Serranidae.